This 141-nucleotide small nuclear RNA is filed under the name Saimiri boliviensis boliviensis (Bolivian squirrel monkey). Its description in RNAcentral is "U4 spliceosomal RNA (ENSSBOG00000000295.1)". It matches the Rfam family "U4 spliceosomal RNA". From Rfam's summary of the family: U4 small nuclear RNA (U4 snRNA) is a component of the major U2-dependent spliceosome. The structure of U4 snRNA from yeast and human has been reported. The record is from Rfam by way of RNAcentral. Lineage: Eukaryota; Metazoa; Chordata; Mammalia; Primates; Cebidae.
AGCUUUGUGCAGUGGCAGUAUCGUAGCCAGUGAGGUUUAUCCAAGAUGUGAUUAUUGCUAAUUGAAAACUUUUCCCAAUACCCUGCCAUGACAACUUGAAAUAUAGUUGGCAUUGGCAAUUUUUGACAGUCUCUACAGAGA